GAUGAACGCUGGCGGCGUGCCUCAAACAUGCAAGUCGAGCGGGGCUAUGUAAUAUCGCAAGGUAGAACAUAGCCUAGCGGCGAACGGGUGAGUAACACGUGGGUAACCUGCCUGGAAGACAGGGAUAACGAUUCGAAAGGGUCGCUAAUACCUGAUAAUAUCCUUUCAUCGCAUGGUGAUAGGAAGAAAGGGGAAACCCGCUUUCAGAUGGGCCCGCGUCCCAUCAGCUAGUUGGUAAGGUAAAGGCUUACCAAGGCGACGACGGGUAGCCGGUCUGAGAGGAUGUACGGCCACACUGGGACUGAGAUACGGCCCAGACUCCUACGGGAGGCAGCAGUUGGGAAUCUUAGGCAAUGGACGAAAGUCUGACCUAGCGACGCCGCGUGAGGGAAGAAGGCUUCGGGUUGUAAACCUCUGUCAUGGGGGAAGAAGUAAGUGACGGUACCCCCAGAAGAAGCCCCUGCUACUACGUGCUAGCAGCCGCGGUAAUACGUAGGGGGCGAGCGUUAUNCGGAAUUAUGGGCGUAAAGGCGAGUAGGCGGUCUGUUAAGUCAGGUGUGAAAUUUCAGGCUCAACCUGAAAC
RNAcentral lists this ribosomal RNA (583 nucleotides) under uncultured bacterium. RNAcentral's name for it is "bacterial SSU rRNA". It matches the Rfam family "Bacterial small subunit ribosomal RNA", at positions 28 to 621 of the family's 1533-position model. The record is from RNAcentral.